This 2250-nucleotide ribosomal RNA is filed under the name Triticum aestivum (bread wheat). RNAcentral describes it as "partial small subunit ribosomal RNA". Lineage: Eukaryota; Viridiplantae; Streptophyta; Magnoliopsida; Poales; Poaceae. The record is from RNAcentral.
AUGAUUAUUCGUUCGCCAGAACCAGAAGUAAAAAUUGUUGUGGAUAGGGAUCCUGUAAAAACAUCUUUUGAGGAAUGGGCCAGACCCGGCCAUUUCUCAAGAACACUAGCUAAGGGCCCUGAUACUACCACUUGGAUCUGGAACCUACAUGCUGAUGCUCACGAUUUCGAUAGUCAUACUGGUGAUUUGGAGGAGAUUUCUCGAAAAGUCUUUAGUGCUCAUUUCGGGCAACUUUCCAUUAUCUUUCUUUGGUUGAGUGGCAUGUACUUUAAUGGCGCCCGUUUUUCCAAUUAUGAAGCAUGGCUAAGUGAUCCUACUCACAUUGGACCCAGUGCUUAGGUAGUUUGGCCUAUAGUAGGGCAAGAAAUAUUGAAUGGUGAUGUAGGCGGGGGUUUCCGAGGAAUCCAAAUAACCUCUGGUUUUUUCCUUUGGCGAGCAUCUGGAAUAACUAGUGAAUUACAACUCUAUUGUACUGCAAUUGGUGCAUUGAUUUUUGUAGCGUUAAUGCUUUUUGCUGGUUGGUUCCAUUAUCACAAAGCCGCUCCCAAAUUGGCCUGGUUCCAAGAUGUAGAAUCCAUGUUGAAUCACCACUUAGCGGGAUUAUUAGGACUUGGGUCUCUUUCUUGGGCGGGGCACCAAAUUCAUGUAUCUUUACCAAUUAACCAAUUUCUUGACGUUGGGGUGGAUCCUAAAGAGAUACCACUUCCUCAUGAAUUUAUCUUGAAUCGGGACCUUUUGGCUCAACUUUAUCCUAGUUUUGCCGAAGGAGCAACCCCUUUUUUCACUUUAAAUUGGUCCAAAUACGCAGAAUUUCUGACUUUUCGCGGAGGACUAGAUCCAGUAACCGGUGGUCUCUGGCUGACCGAUAUUGCGCACCAUCAUUUAGCUAUUGCUAUUCUUUUCCUAAUCGCAGGUCAUAUGUAUAGGACCAAUUGGGGUAUUGGCCAUGGACUUAAAGAUAUUUUGGAGGCUCACAAGGGCCCAUUUACAGGACAAGGCCAUAAGGGUCUUUAUGAAAUCUUAACAACGUCAUGGCAUGCUCAAUUAUCUCUUAACCUAGCUAUGCUAGGCUCUACAACCAUUGUUGUAGCUCAUCAUAUGUAUUCUAUGCCUCCCUAUCCAUACCUAGCUACUGACUAUGGUACACAACUUUCCUUGUUCACACACCACAUGUGGAUUGGCGGAUUUCUAAUAGUCGGUGCUGCUGCACAUGCAGCAAUUUUUAUGGUAAGAGACUAUGAUCCAACUACUCGAUACAACGAUCUAUUAGAUCGCGUCCUUAGACACCGCGAUGCAAUCAUAUCCCACCUUAACUGGGUAUGUAUAUUUCUAGGUUUUCACAGUUUUGGCUUGUACAUUCAUAAUGAUACCAUGAGUUCUUUAGGCCGUCCACAAGAUAUGUUUUCGGAUACUGCCAUACAAUUACAACCUAUCUUUGCUCAAUGGGUACAAAAUAUCCAUGCUACUGCGCCUGGCGUAACAGCUCCUGGUGCAACAACAAGUACUAGCUUAACGUGGGGAGGCGGCGAGUUAGUAGCAGUAGGUGGCAAAGUGGCUUUGUUACCUAUUCCAUUAGGAACCGCAGAUUUUUUAGUCCAUCACAUUCAUGCAUUUACCAUACAUGUGACUGUAUUAAUACUUUUGAAAGGUGUUUUAUUUGCUCGGAGUUCCCGUUUGAUACCCGAUAAAGCAAAUCCAGGUUUUCGCUUUCCUUGCGAUGGGCCUGGCCGAGGGGGAACAUGUCAAGUAUCCGCCUGGGAUCAUGUUUUCUUAGGUUUAUUCUGGAUGUACAAUGCAAUUUCGGUAGUCAUUUUCCAUUUCAGUUGGAAAAUGCAGUCGGAUAUUUGGGGUACUAUAAGUGAUCAAGGGGUGGUAACUCAUAUUAUAGGGGGAAACUUUGCACAGAGUUCCAUUAUGAUUAAUGGGUGGCUUCGAGAUUUCUUGUGGGCACAGGCAUCGCAAGUCAUUCAGUCUUAUGGUUCUUCAUUAUCUGCAUAUGGUCUUUUUUUCUUAGGUGCUCAUUUUAUCUGGGCCUUCAGUUUAAUGUUUUUAUUCAGCGGCCGUGGUUAUUGGCAAGAACUCAUUGAAUCUAUCGUUUGGGCUCAUAACAAAUUAAAAGUUGCUCCUGCUACUCAGCCUAGAGCCUUGAGCAUUAUACAAGGACGCGCUGUAGGAGUAACCCAUUACCUUCUGGGUGGAAUUGCCACGACAUGGGCAUUCUUCUUAGCGAGAAUUAUUGCAGUAGGAUAG